UACGGAGGGGGCAAGCGUUGUUCGGAAUUACUGGGCGUAAAGAGCGCGCAGGCGGUCGUUCAAGUCGCGUGUGAAAGCCCCCGGCUCAACUGGGGAGGGUCACGCGAUACUGAUCGACUCGAAGGCAGGAGAGGGAAGUGGAAUUCCCGGUGUAGUGGUGAAAUGCGUAGAUAUCGGGAGGAACACCAGUGGCGAAGGCGACUUCCUGGCCUGUUCUUGACGCUGAGGCGCGAAAGCUAGGGGAGCAAACGGG
This 253-nucleotide ribosomal RNA is filed under the name uncultured bacterium. RNAcentral's name for it is "partial 16S ribosomal RNA". It matches the Rfam family "Bacterial small subunit ribosomal RNA", at positions 524 to 776 of the family's 1533-position model. The record is from RNAcentral.